This is a non-coding RNA of Vicugna pacos (alpaca), 452 nucleotides long. The record is from RefSeq and is a predicted model, not a curated record. NCBI's taxonomy places the organism in Eukaryota, Metazoa, Chordata, Mammalia, Artiodactyla, Camelidae.
GAAAAUCUUUUUCCACUGAUUGCCUCCGUCUCACUUGAUUUCCAUCAAAAUUGUUUUUGGUGACAUAAUUGCCCCAAAGAGACCAAAGACUUCAUGGGGGAAGAAAUGAUGACCAGUGGCUCCUAACAAUGAAUGGGUUUGAGAGGCUGAAGGGAACGUUAGGAUUAUGAUGAGGAGACCUUUAAAGAGGAUCUUCUUAAUCAAGAUAUUCCUGCCCCAAUGGGUAGUGGAGAGAAACAACUUCUGGGAAAGGCCGAGACUCCAGGCCACGUGGAGCCCAGGCGUGCGGGCUGCUGAAGGAUCAGGACUCAUAUUCCCUCUGGUGAUGCUCAAGAAGCCACUUCUAGCUCCUUCUGCCUCACCGUUGACAGGGUUUUCACCCAGCAGCUCUUGAGAAUGAUGGCUCUAUCAUAGGAAAUUAAAGUUGAAUUUUAGUGUAGAAUCUGUAACAA